CCUACGGGAGGCAGCAGUGGGGAAUAUUGGGCAAUGGGCGCAAGCCUGACCCAGCAACGCCGCGUGAAGGAAGAAGGCUUUCGGGUUGUAAACUUCUUUUGUCAGGGACGAAGCAAGUGACGGUACCUGACGAAUAAGCCACGGCUAACUACGUGCCAGCAGCCGCGGUAAUACGGAGGUGGCAAGCGUUAUCCGGAUUUACUGGGUGUAAAGGGCGUGUAGGCGGGGAAGCAAGUCAGAUGUGAAAACCACGGGCUCAACCUGUGGCCUGCAUUUGAAACUGUUUUUCUUGAGUGCUGGAGAGGCAAUCGGAAUUCCGUGUGUAGCGGUGAAAUGCGUAGAUAUACGGAGGAACACCAGUGGCGAAGGCGGAUUGCUGGACAGUAACUGACGCUGAGGCGCGAAAGCGUGGGGAGCAAACAGGAUUAGAUACCCUUGUAGUC
Molecule: ribosomal RNA, 443 nt
Filed under: uncultured bacterium
Lineage: Bacteria
Description: partial 16S ribosomal RNA
Rfam family: Bacterial small subunit ribosomal RNA
Source: RNAcentral